This 425-nucleotide ribosomal RNA is filed under the name uncultured bacterium. Its description in RNAcentral is "partial 16S ribosomal RNA". It matches the Rfam family "Bacterial small subunit ribosomal RNA", at positions 354 to 796 of the family's 1533-position model. The record is from RNAcentral.
GUGGGGAAUUUUGGACAAUGGGCGAAAGCCUGAUCCAGCAAUGCCGCGUGAGUGAUGAAGGCCUUAGGGUUGUAAAGCUCUUUUACCCGGGAUGAUAAUGACAGUACCGGGAGAAUAAGCUCCGGCUAACUCCGUGCCAGCAGCCGCGGUAAUACGGAGGGAGCUAGCGUUGUUCGGAAUUACUGGGCGUAAAGCGCACGUAGGCGGCUUUGUAAGUUAGAGGUGAAAGCCUGGAGCUUAACUCCAGAACUGCCUUUAAGACUGCAUCGCUUGAAUCCAGGAGAGGUGAGUGGAAUUCCGAGUGUAGAGGUGAAAUUCGUAGAUAUUCGGAAGAACACCAGUGGCGAAGGCGGCUCACUGGACUGGUAUUGACGCUGAGGUGCGAAAGCGUGGGGAGCAAACAGGAUUAGAAACCCGGGUAGUCC